GGUCGGGGCGGUCGGUCUGCCUGUUCCUUUGUGAAUGGGUUUGUACCUUGUCCAGUUCCGGCCAUGUUCGGGGAAUGGCGAGCUGGCAUUAAGUUGUCUGGUUCGUGUUGUUGCCCGUCGUUUACUGUGAGCAAAAUAGAGUGUUCAAAGCAGGCUUAAGCCGUUGAAUACAUUAGCAUGGAAUAAUAAGAUACGACCUUGGGUGUAUUUUGUUGGUUUGCGAUCCGAGGUA
Molecule: ribosomal RNA, 232 nt
Filed under: uncultured fungus
Lineage: Eukaryota; Fungi
Description: partial small subunit ribosomal RNA
Source: RNAcentral